This 253-nucleotide ribosomal RNA is filed under the name uncultured bacterium. RNAcentral describes it as "partial 16S ribosomal RNA". It matches the Rfam family "Bacterial small subunit ribosomal RNA", at positions 524 to 776 of the family's 1533-position model. The record is from RNAcentral.
UACGUAGGGUGCAGGCGUUAAUCGGAAUUACUGGGCGUAAAGGGUGCGCAGGCGGUUUGCUAAGACAGGUGUGAAAUCCCCGGGCUUAACCUGGGAACUGCGCUUGUAACUGGCAAGCUAGAGUGUGGCAGAGGGGGGUGGAAUUUCAGGUGUAGCAGUGAAAUGCGUAGAGAUCUGGAGGAACACCGAUGGCGAAGGCAGCCCCCUGGGCUAACACUGACGCUCAUGCACGAAAGCGUGGGGAGCAAACAGG